GACGAACGCUGGCGGCGUGCCUAAUACAUGCAAGUCGAGCGGGGUUAUUUUAGAAGCUUGCUUUUAAAAYAACCUAGCGGCGGACGGGUGAGUAACACGUAGGCAACCUGCCCCUCAGACUGGGAUAACUACCGGAAACGGUAGCUAAUACCGGAUACAUCCUUUCCCUGCAUGGGGAGAGGAGGAAAGACGGAGCAAUCUGUCACUGAUGGAUGGGCCUGCGGCGCAUUAGCUAGUUGGUGGGGUAAUGGCCUACCAAGGCGACGAUGCGUAGCCGACCUGAGAGGGUGAUCGGCCACACUGGGACUGAGACACGGCCCAGACUCCUACGGGAGGCAGCAGUAGGGAAUCUUCCGCAAUGGGCGAAAGCCUGACGGAGCAACGCCGCGUGAGUGAUGAAGGUUUUCGGAUCGUAAAGCUCUGUUGCCAGGGAAGAACGUCUUGUAGAGUAACUG
RNAcentral lists this ribosomal RNA (455 nucleotides) under Paenibacillus sp. R-31009. RNAcentral's name for it is "bacterial SSU rRNA". It matches the Rfam family "Bacterial small subunit ribosomal RNA", at positions 28 to 475 of the family's 1533-position model. The record is from RNAcentral. Lineage: Bacteria; Bacillati; Bacillota; Bacilli; Caryophanales; Paenibacillaceae.